UGGGGAAUAUUGGACAAUGGGCGAAAGCCUGAUCCAGCCAUGCCGCGUGAGUGAUGAAGGCCCUAGGGUUGUAAAGCUCUUUUGUGCGGGAAGAUAAUGACGGUACCGCAAGAAUAAGCCCCGGCUAACUUCGCGCCAGCAGCCGCGGUAAUACGAAGGGGGCUAGCGUUGCUCGGAAUCACUGGGCGUAAAGGGUGCGUAGGCGGGUUUCUAAGUCAGAGGUGAAAGCCUGGAGCUCAACUCCAGAACUGCCUUUGAUACUGGAAGUCUUGAGUUCGGGAGAGGUGAGUGGAACUGCGAGUGUAGAGGUGAAAUUCGUAGAUAUUCGCAAGAACACCAGUGGCGAAGGCGGCUCACUGACCCGAUACUGACGCUGAGGCACGAAAGCGUGGGGAGCAAACA
This 402-nucleotide ribosomal RNA is filed under the name uncultured bacterium. Its description in RNAcentral is "bacterial SSU rRNA". It matches the Rfam family "Bacterial small subunit ribosomal RNA", at positions 355 to 774 of the family's 1533-position model. The record is from RNAcentral.